This 349-nucleotide unclassified non-coding RNA is filed under the name soil metagenome. Its description in RNAcentral is "partial contains 5.8S ribosomal RNA, internal transcribed spacer 2, and large subunit ribosomal RNA". The stretch from base 1 to 120 matches the Rfam family "5.8S ribosomal RNA", at positions 35 to 154 of the family's 154-position model. The record is from RNAcentral.
GAUGAAGAACGUAGCGAAAUGCGAUACGUAAUGUGAAUUGCAGAAUUCAGUGAAUCAUCGAGUCUUUGAACGCACAUUGCGCCCCCUGGUAUUCCGGGGGGCAUGCCUGUCCGAGCGUCAUUGCUGCCCUCAAGCACGGCUUGUGUGUUGGGCCUCCGCCCCCCGGCUCCCGGGGGGCGGGCCCGAAAGGCAGCGGCGGCACCGCGUCCGGUCCUCGAGCGUAUGGGGCUUCGUCACCCGCUCCGUAGGCCCGGCCGGCGCCCGCCGGCGACCCCCCUCAAUCUUUCCAGGUUGACCUCGAAUCAGGUAGGACUACCCGCUGAACUUAAGCAUAUCAAUAAGCGGAGGA